Brienomyrus brachyistius is the source of this 2007-nucleotide long non-coding RNA. RefSeq lists it as uncharacterized. The transcript has 3 exons. Lineage: Eukaryota; Metazoa; Chordata; Actinopteri; Osteoglossiformes; Mormyridae. The record is from RefSeq and is a predicted model, not a curated record.
GCGGCUGAGAGAUUCUGGUGGCAAGGCGACAAACCAAAACGCUGAGACAACGGGACAGCCAGAGACAUUUCCACUCCUCUGCGGGGCCAACGACACAUGAGCCAGAGCAAUGCAGAUGAGUAAGUGCUAUGCCCUGCGUCAAGUCGAAGCAGGAGAGCUGCCUUAUAAAACUAAGGUUUUCUGGUAUCACUGCAUAUAUCUAGCCCAAUUUCACGCUAUGGAUUAUGGGAAUGGAGGUGGGCCAUUUUGCAGUAGCAGUUGUAAUAAACUGGGUCAUAAACAUGAAGCAGAAACUUCACUUUUAUUUUCUGUGCGAUGAGCUCACAACCUUUAAGAAAUGACUUCAGUGAUCUCAAAUUCCAGCCCUGCAAGGAAGGAGAGUCUCUUAUGCUGUUCGUCAUGCCCUCGUUAGUAGGAAUCUAUAACUGACAUAUAAUUCGUUGUUUCCUGGUGUGUACUGCUCUGCUCACUGUUGCAGUUGUGUUAUUUCCAGUACGUAUUUUUCUCCCGUAAUCUGGACAAGUGCUUCCCAAUCCGGCCCUCGGAGACCCCCGGACAGUCGACCUUUUCCUCCUUCCCAGACAGUUUUGCUCCCCUCCCAGGGACUGGAUUGGGAAACACUGAUCUAGACUUUAUAAUCUUCUCAUAGCACAAAGGAAUCAUGGGACACAAAGUAUUACAAACCAGACUUUUCAAAACAAGUUUUAUGACAUAACGAAGUUGGGGAACAGAAUGCAUUUCAGGAAGGAAAAUACAUUUAUAAACAUCUACUGCAAUAAACUGAGUCUUGCUGAUUUUCAGGAAAUUGUACUGCUUUCCUGCUCACAGUGAAUGUAAUACAUUUUUGGGUCUAAGUGCCAUAUAUAUUAUAUCACAUCUGGCUCUAUAUUUAAUACUAUAUAUUGUUCAUAUUCACUUAUAUCACCUUUAUUGAUUUUCAUUUCAUUUUACAAGGUUCACCAAUAUAUCUUAACACUUAUAUAUUUUCAAAGAUUGUUGUAAGAUUUUUAAAGGAAUAAAUGAAUUUGUUUUGGGGCGCAUUUUGUGUUAAGAAUGUUUAUUAUCGGUCAGGGUUGGUGCCAUGUGUGCGUUGGGCAGUGAGUGUGUGAGUGAAUGUGAGCGGACUUCCUCAGUGCGCUGACCUUACGCAUGCAGCAAUGCCUCUGCCUUCUUAAUACCACCGCACACUAAAUUACUGACCCACAGCAUGGCGACGAGAAGAUCGCCCUGAGCUGGGGGGCACAGCCAGCCAGAGGGUCUACCUGCAGAGGCUCUACGAAGGAACACGUCGAAUCGUCAGUCCCAGGGGCGUUUAAGGGGCUGAAUGGCGGUGCUGCGUCCUGCAGUGUGUGGAGCUCUGGGAGAGAGCUGGAUGAUGACUGGCAAUGAGGCCGCCAAGGCAGGCAGUAAUGCAGCAGACGAUGGUGCGGAAUCGCCCCAGAGAGACGCCUCGGCAGCGAAGCGGAGGCGGUCAGUGGUGACGGUAUCUGCUGGCCUGCGGAGGAGGCGGGAGCACAGACGUCCCGGCGUUGCUGCCGCAAGCAGCCUGCUGCUGCUGGACAAACACCAGGAAAAAAUGUGUCUCAGUGCAUAUUGUACAAUUCAACCCGUCGGACACAAAGAGCGCAGAGCUCAGUGGGCAGGCAUGUGGGAUGCUGGCGUGGGCCCAGGCUUCCAGAAAGGGGCCCGAGACAAUCUUCAGUGAUCCUGCUCCCAAACGCAAAGCCGUGAUUCACCGCCUCCCAGCACAAACAGACACACAGCGUUCUAAUGAAAAUUAACCGCGCCGGCUGCAGGCGCAGGGCCGUGGCAGAAAGAGGCAGCUCGGAGCGGCGGAGGGACACGUCGUAAAACCGGAGCACGCCAUCCGCGCACCGAGAUACAAACAGCUUCCUCAAGAGGUGUGUGCUCCAGUUUUAGAUGCUGUCAUGCUCUUUUCAGCUAUGCUGAAUCAGUAACAGUACCCAGAUAAGUCAUCUGGACAUGUAGGUCAACCUUCUCUCAGAA